Molecule: RNA transcript, 4463 nt
Organism: Asparagus officinalis (garden asparagus)
Lineage: Eukaryota; Viridiplantae; Streptophyta; Magnoliopsida; Asparagales; Asparagaceae
Gene name: myb family transcription factor PHL7-like
Exons: 7
Source: RefSeq, a predicted model, not a curated record
ACUCCCAACAGCCGGCAGAGUCCUGCAACGUCCACUUCCCACAGCGACCACGAUUUCUCUCGAUGUCGGACUCUCUUUUUGUCCCCUGCUUCUCAAUUUCCAACACCUCGUUCGAACCCAAAAUAAUUCUAAAAAUCCUUUCUUUUUCAUUACCAAUCCCUUUCUCCCUCGAUUCUACCGACCCGAGAUAAAAAAAAAUAUAUUCCCAUUUCAAAUUGGGUUUUCCUUAAAACACCAUUUUCUUGCUGAAAAUUUUAAGGUGAGUCAUGGAGCAUGAGAGUUUAGUUCGGGGUUUAGGGAGGCAGAGGAUGAGGUGGACCCCAGAGUUACACCAUUGCUUUGAGGACGCAGUUCAUCAAUUGGGCGGCCCCGAUCGGGCAACGCCUAAAGGAAUAUUCAAGCUCAUGUCUAUGCCUGGACUAACCAUCACUCAUGUUAAGAGCCACUUGCAGAAAUACAGGAUGUCAAACUUUGUUCUCGAGUCUUCUGAUAGAAGCAAGCUCGAAACCAAGGCUUCAGAAAUUUUACGAAAUUUCUCUUCUGCAUCUCGACUUCAAAUAAGUGAUGCCUUACGCAUGAAUAUGGAAGCUCAUCGGAAAUCACAUAAUCAACUUGAUCUCACAAUUGUAGCAGUAAUAAGAUUUGUGAUAAGAUUUGAGGAGGAAACAUGGUGUCUGGAUAUAACUGAUGCGGUUGGAUUAGACUCUAUCCUAGCUGGUCUCCCAGUGGAUAAGAAAGACAAUCACCAAUACAAGGCCCACUGUUUGAUAGCAUGAGUAUCUGCAGUCCCUACUUUACAAGUGGAACUGAUCAGCUCCUCAGACCUGAUGACAGAGAUGGAUAAGCUUCAAAACAGGAAAUUGGCAUGGAGACUACAGAAAACCCUUUUUUAUUUACGGGGGUUCAUCUCUCGACAACAAAUCUAAAGCCUGAAGCCCUGUCCACUUAGCUUCUUUGGUGGCCCUCUAGGAAUUACACCGGUAAAGAAAUUCCAGUUAGCAGAACCAGUACAUCUCUAACCUCUGCUUUUACCUUGUAAAUUUCCUUUUCAAUAAUGCAUCAUGCUCAGUUUGCUGAUAGACCUAUAAAUAUAUUCUACUAAGGGCCUACUUAUUAUUAAUCACUAUUUAGUUGUUCCCACGAUAUCAUCAUUCUUUUUUAAAGGUGCUCACUACCUCAAGUUGACAAUGUAUAUUUCUAAUGCUAUAGAAUCAGUUGUUUUUUUUAAAAUAAAUAUUUUCUUAUUGCUUUAGUUUACUCUGUUCAAGUAGAAAAAAGAGAAACACCUGCGAAUGGCCUUUUUAUAUAUUUUAAGCAAGCUUUUUUUUUGGUUUGAGUAAUCAAAAGGAAUCAAAAACUUUGAAUACGUUUUCACGAUUGUAUAUUACCUUAUCGGUGAAACUUGAUCCUCAUUCAAGAGGGGCAUUGAAAAAGAGUGCUCCUGAUCUUAAAUUUGAAGCACUUUUGGUUUGCAUUUUAGGUUCAACUUAUAAUUAAAUCCUCUGGUCAGUGUAAAAAGUACUUGAUACAUAUUGUCAGUCAAUAAAAGAACCAGCUUGUAUAUUUGGCAUAGAGCUUUCUCAACAUGGUAAAUCCAACAGACAUUGGACCCAAAACCUCGAAAGUCAGGCCGAAAGUUAAGGUGAGAAGUGAAUAUUUCUUGAUUACGUUAUUGUGCUUUCGGUUAAAGUGGUUAUCUGACAAUUGAAAAAUAAUUAGUUAAUAUAAAAACUUAUCUAAGCUAAGGACACUGGCCUUACUUUUCCAAUUCACAGUACUAAGGUGGAAACUCUUUUCUAGAAAAGAAAGGAAUCCCAGUUCUAUGGUACUGCAUAAACAACGUUCAACUUUGUUUUUGUUAUAGGCCCUUGACAUAAGGUGUAACCCUCAACAUCAUACAAACUGACGUUUGAUUAAUUAAGAGAACGAAAAGGAAGUUUAAGGCUUAAACCACAUCAUUAUCCUUUAAAUUCAUUGAAAAUGUUUGCAACCAUCAACAGACUACUAAUUAAGUUAGAGGAGUUUACCAUAGUGGUGAGGCUGACAGGAGCUGUUGGUUUAUACUUCAAAUGGAUUAUCUGCCAAAUGAAUGAAUGAAUGAUUUAUUUAUGUUAGAUAAGAGAUGGGACGCGUACGCCUCAUUUUGUGACAAUGAUUGGUGGAUGGUUCUAUUUAUCUACCAUCUUUGUUGGCCAUGAAUCAUGGAGAGUAGAGGAUUUCUCUAGUUGCCGGCCAUGUGUUUGCCCAUCCUCAGCACAUGGGCUAUUAGAAUUUUCAAUGCAGCGGUGACCCCUUGUCCUCUUACAUGUGCUCUUAGCUACUUCACCAUUCAAACCCAGUGGCCGUGUGUUUAGUAUUACAGGAUCCGGAGAGGUUGAUACCGUUGAUAGAGAAGUCUUGUCGCAUUUUUGAGCAGUUGAAACCCUUUCCUCUCGUGAUCCUCCUUUGGCAAUUGAGGUGUGUUUGGCAUAUUUAACUUUGGAGAAAAGAAAGAAAAUGCGGAUUCUCUAGGGAGCCUACGGAAAGUUUCGAGUCCCACGGUAGUUUCUUCUUUUGGUAUAUCGAAUACUAGAAGAUGAGAUAUGUUAUUAAACUUUCAUCUGUUUGGCAGAAAAAAGGACAAAAAAUCCGAAAACAAUUAGAUUUCCCUAGGUGUUCUUGGAAACUUUCCCCAUACGCCGAGCACCCCGUAGGCUAGGUUCAUUCAAAUUGGAUGCUUUGAUCAAGAUUUCUAUUAUCACCAGCUAGGCAGAUAUCUUAGUGCCUAACAUUCACGCUAGCAUUAUUAGUUGUAUGAUUGAUAUAGGGUGUAUUUAUCAGUGAAGCUUUAUUAUUGAAAGUGAAGCUCAUACAUUCUUCUAGUUGGGGGUGAAGUUAAUAUUCAUCGCGAUGAAGUGCCUUCUUGAAUUCUUCUCUUAUUCUUAUCCAAGCAAGCAAUAGAAUCUCUUAUUAAGCACACCAAGACUUAUGCCCCCAUUACUAAAGUCUCCUUUAGCGUUAUUCCGUCUGAUGAAAGUGUUGAAAGUGCGCUACUCAAAACGUGAACAUGUAAAAUAUCCGAUGUCACGAUGUAAAGGUUAGCUUGAACAAAUUACAUUCUAUUUUUCACACGUGCUUUAAAGAGUAAGCUAAUUAUGUAAUAUUCAUUUCAUGUUUUGGUACAUAUAAUUAGUGAGCGUAAUUAUGUAAUAUCCAUUGUGGACCUGCUCCAACCACUGGUCAGACAUUGUCAUUAUCAGGGAAGUUUAACAUCUUAAUCACUUACUUAACCAACCCCAUUUUCAUUCACGUGCAAGUUUAUUUCCUUGCAAUUGUUGGAAAUGUACCCUAAGAUUAAAGCUUAGAAAAGUCUGACCUUUCAGAAUAUUAUUAUUAGCCAGCGAUAGAAGCAAGAAUGCCGUUUCGAUAGGAUCAACAAGGUUGUCAACUGAAAAUGUGCGCUAAAAGGACCCUAAACUAUUCUUAUUGCCACGGUUAAUGUUUUCAAAUUAUCAUACUGCAAGUGGGUGACCAAAUUUUUACUAUCGGUAAUCAGGUUUCAUGGCACUAAAUAUAGGCAGGAAAUAUUUGAUGUCAUUAAUAACAGUCACCACUUAUGUAAUCAGUGACUAUGUCUUAGGUUACCAACUAAAAAGUUGUUGAUCAACUGAGCAGAAAUUGUUGGGUGAUCCUAGAUGAACUCAUGUGGAGGCAGAAUUUGCCCGAAAAGAUUUCUUCAUGGACCCAAUAAUUGUGGAUUCUGGUUCUUUUGUGCUGAAAUGAUGAGGAACAUGUGAAGUUGGUUGUAUUGAAAACCACUCACCGGUGGCUCAUAUUGAGCCACAAAUUGCCAGACCUCUCUGUCGACUACAUAGUUUGAACACACCGAUGGGUUUCACAUGAUUUGGAUGCGUUUCAAGUCCUGUUUGGAUUCGGAUUGGGGAGUUGUUUGGCUAGUUGGACUCAACUUUGAGGGAGGCUAUAAAUAAAGAUUGUCUAGGGUUUCUCUAUGUAUCUUUGACAAGAAAUUGUGAUAUUUGUUUUGGCUUUGCAAGGGAGAGAGAUUAGGGUUUCUAAUCUUCUCCGUCUUCGUUGUAACCUCUUGAUAAAUAGUGGAUUGUCGAUCUCGCCGGUUGUGGACGUAGGCAUCUUGCCGAACCACGAUUAAUCCUUGCCUUUUUUGUGAGGUGAUUGCACAUCCGUGUUUGUCUCUACAGAACAUAUGGUGAUGCAUGCUUGGAGUUUGUCCUGUAGACACUUAACAUAAUGCCAAGGUUUUUAAAACUUAUUGGAAUCUAGUGUUGGUAAAGUCAUGCAUACUGUUGAUGAAAUUUAUCAGAAAUAUUAGAAUGCAUCAUGCAUGGCUGUUGUGCAUACACUAGGCCCCUGUUUGAUUUAUUUGGUGGAGAUAGAUUUGCUCACUGUGUUGAGCUCAACCUCGUAGGUUUCUCAAUUAUAAUUACACCACCCACCCGGGAAAAAAA